RNAcentral lists this ribosomal RNA (492 nucleotides) under uncultured bacterium. Its description in RNAcentral is "partial 16S ribosomal RNA". It matches the Rfam family "Bacterial small subunit ribosomal RNA", at positions 29 to 507 of the family's 1533-position model. The record is from RNAcentral.
AGUGGACGCUGGCGGUAGGCCUAACACAUGCAAGUCGAACGGCAGCACAGUAAGAGCUUGCUCUUACGGGUGGCGAGUGGCGGACGGGUGAGGAAUACAUCGGAAUCUACUUUUUCGUGGGGGAUAACGUAGGGAAACUUACGCUAAUACCGCAUACGACCUACGGGUGAAAGCAGGGGAUCUUCGGACCUUGCGCGAUUGAAUGAGCCGAUGUCGGAUUAGCUAGUUGGCGGGGUAAAGGCCCACCAAGGCGACGAUCCGUAGCUGGUCUGAGAGGAUGAUCAGCCACACUGGAACUGAGACACGGUCCCGACUCCUACGGGAGGCAGCAGUGGGGAAUAUUGGACAAUGGGCGCAAGCCUGAUCCAGCCAUACCGCGUGGGUGCAGAAGGCCUUCGGGUUGUAAAGCCCUUUUGUUGGGAAAGAAAAUCAGCAGGUUAAUACCCCGCUGUUCUGACGGUACCCAAAGAAGAAGCACCGGCUAACUUCGUG